Long non-coding RNA from Bos taurus (domestic cattle), 1949 nucleotides. Lineage: Eukaryota; Metazoa; Chordata; Mammalia; Artiodactyla; Bovidae. The record is from Ensembl.
GUAUGUGGGUUGAGAAGAGAGUGCCCGCAUGCCCACGCAUGUGAAGUAACUUCAGAAGACUUACAGAGGGGAGGCUGCAGAAUAAUAUUGUCUGAUGCUGAAGGCCACAUGGAGCUGGGAUCGAAAAAAUGUUCUCCGCAAUCUAAACAAAGUUAGAUUGGGAAAUGCAGCAUGGUACCAUGGGGGCCUGGUUCGGCCAUGACCCGCCUGCCCGCAGGCGCCGGCCUCAGAUGCUCAGAGCGGCCUGGGGAGAGAGGGGAUGCUUUGACUUUUCAAGAUCUAAGAGUUAUGGUUCCCUUUUGGCGAAAUGCUUUUUGUCCUGUCAUAACUUGAGUCCUUUGUGGUAGCACCGAUUGUGGCCUCGGAAGCCCAGGUAGGAGUCAUUCAACCUUUUUCAGCAGAUUGAAGUGAUUUUUAAGUGAAUACAGAAAGCAGCCCUACCCACACCAUCCUCUGUCAGGAAUGAAGCAUCUGUGAUGGAAAAUACCUGCAGCCUGGGGAAAAAAUUUACUGCAACAGCUCCAUUUCAUGUUGUGGGGUCAUAUUUUUAUUGAUGUGAAAUUCUUGCUCUCUACUGUCCGAUUUUUGUUAACUACUGAAUCUAAAUCUUGUUGGGUCUUGUGCUUGCAAACCCCUGUAAUUAGCAUGAUAUCCUAGAUUGUUUUUAAAUUGAAGUGGCCUGGUUUCUGUGUCUAACCUGUGCAGUUAGAGGCCCCGGGGCUGAGAUUGUAUCUGGGGCUCUCCCUGGACCCCUCUCUUCCACGCCCUGGCUGGAGACUGAGCAUCAAAAUCUCCCAUGGAAACCUGGAUCCAGAGUUCAGGAACCGGGAGGCUGGCACAGGCGAGGGGGUGCGGGUGAUGUCAAGCACCCUUCUCUGGGACUUGCAAGUUGCCACAGAGGAGAGCGUGGCAACCCACUCCAAUAUUCUUGCCUGGAGAAUCCUAUAGACAGAGGAGCCCUACAGUUCACGGGGUCAAAGAGUCAGAGGUGACUAAAGUGUGACCAUCUCACCAGAGGAUCCCUCCCACCUACCCUACACCACGAAGCCAAAUGGACCAAUGACAUGGGGCAGCUUCUUUUAAAUCUCACCCCCAGGGCCUCUGACUGCACAGGUAAGACACAGAAACCAGGCCACUCCAAUUUAAACAAGCCUUGCAGCUUCUUAAAGACCAGGGUCAAGUCCAUAUGAAGUCCUUCCGUUACUUACCUUCACAUUGGUCUCAGUGGUUUAUUUCAAAUUCUAGCCUAUUCAUUGAUAGCUUUUCCUGAAUGGUCUCCAAAAGCUCUCUGCAAAAGCGAUUUACAGAGUGGCUGGCCAGUGUGCUGAUCUGCACACUGAAGGAAGGAUCAUGUAGCUAAGGACUGCCAAACAGACAGAAGAGACAUGUUAUCACCGAGGCAAGAAGUGCGCAGUUAGCAGGGUUAAGGACCAGGAUUUGGGGGCCACAUAGCUGCUUGUAGCGAGAAGGUUCUUGCAUGAAGAAUCUUCUCAACUAUCUUUCCUUGCCCACAGCUAAAUAGUAGCUUCUACUUUAAAUCCAGGUCACAGUCAUUAGCUACCAGCAUGGUCGGCACUAGAUACUCAACGAGUAUGGAUCAGUUUAAGAUUUGCUUGAAGGUGAAAAGAGGAAUUAUUCAACAAAUGGUGUUGGAACCACUGGCUAGCCAUUUGGGAAAAAAAGUUUAGAACUUCCCUGGUGGUCCAGUGGUUAAGAGUCUGACCUCCCAAUGCAGGGAGUACAGGUUUGACCCCUGGUCGAGGAACUAAGAUCCUACAUGCCACUCAUGUUGCCGAGAAAUAAAGUAAAUAAAUAAAUAUAAACUUAAACUGAUUCUUACCUUACUUGUCACUCCCAGUAAAGCAUAUGUGGAUAAAAACUUCAAAGAUAAAAUUUGAAACCACAAUUUAAAAACUGUGGGUGCAUUUAUUGCUCAUCCCUGUUUGGAG